UACGGGGGGGGCAAGCGUUGUUCGGAAUUAUUGGGCGUAAAGAGCUCGUAGGCGGUUUGUCGCGUCGGCCGUGAAAUCUCCACGCUUAACGUGGAGCGUGCGGUCGAUACGGGCAGACUUGAGUUCGGUAGGGGAGACUGGAAUUCCUGGUGUAGCGGUGAAAUGCGCAGAUAUCAGGAGGAACACCGGUGGCGAAGGCGGGUCUCUGGGCCGAUACUGACGCUGAGGAGCGAAAGCGUGGGGAGCGAACAGG
Molecule: ribosomal RNA, 253 nt
Filed under: uncultured bacterium
Lineage: Bacteria
Description: partial 16S ribosomal RNA
Rfam family: Bacterial small subunit ribosomal RNA
Source: RNAcentral